This 658-nucleotide long non-coding RNA is filed under the name Homo sapiens (human). RNAcentral describes it as "non-protein coding lnc-PSMA8-4:1". Lineage: Eukaryota; Metazoa; Chordata; Mammalia; Primates; Hominidae. The record is from RNAcentral.
CAUCAGGUAAUCCAUAUUGGAGAGAAACCUUAUGAAUAGAAUGAAUGUGACAAGGUCUCUGGUUAUCUCAUAUCUUUGAAAGGCAUCUGAGAAAUCACACUGGAGAGAAGGCUUACAGAUGUAGUAACUGUGGCAAAGCCUUUACUGAGUGUGCAAGCCAUACUAAACAUCAUGUAAUCCAUCUGGAGAGAAACCUUACAAAUGUAGUGACUGUGGGAAAUUUUGUCUACUGUAGUCAUACCUCCAUCCAUACUGGAGAGACACCUUACAAAUGUAAUAAGUGUGUCAGUGCCUUUAGUGAGCAUUCAAGCAUUACUAAAUAUCAGGUAAUCCAUAAGGGAGAGAAACCUUACAAAUAUAAUGAAAGUGAUAAGUCCUUGUCUUGGCAACCAGACUUCACCAGACAUCAGAUAAUCCAUACUGAAGAGAAACCUUACAACUGCAAUGAAUGUGGCAAGAUCUUCAGUCAAAAUUUACACCAUGCACAACAUCAGAGAACUUACACUUGAGAGAAAGCUUCUGAAUGCAAUGAGUUUGGUAAAUCCUUAAUCAUUUGUUUAAGCAUUAAUCUACCUCAGAGCGGCCAUACUAAAGAGAAACCCCAUAACUGUAAUAUAUGUGGCAGUGGCUUCUUCCAGGCCUCAAAACUCUAGGCACC